AAGUCGUAACAAGGUUUCCGUAGGUGAACCUGCGGAAGGAUCAUUAUUGAAUUAAUGUAGAGUUGGUUGUAGCUGGCAUUUCCUUUAAUUUGGGGAUUGCAUGUGCACACCUUCUCUUUCAUCCACACACCCCUGUGCACUUGUGAGACAGAUUGCUUUUUGGAGGGGGAACUUUAUUGGACCCUUUCUUUUUGGCUCUCUGUCUACUUAAUUAAUAUAAACUCAAUUUAUUUUAAAAUGAAUGUAAUGGAUGUAACACAUCUAAUACUAAGUUUCAACAACGGAUCUCUUGGUUCCC
This 298-nucleotide unclassified non-coding RNA is filed under the name fungal sp. RNAcentral describes it as "partial internal transcribed spacer region". The stretch from base 1 to 46 matches the Rfam family "Eukaryotic small subunit ribosomal RNA", at positions 1786 to 1831 of the family's 1831-position model. The record is from RNAcentral. Lineage: Eukaryota; Fungi.